Non-coding RNA from Paramormyrops kingsleyae, 988 nucleotides. NCBI's taxonomy places the organism in Eukaryota, Metazoa, Chordata, Actinopteri, Osteoglossiformes, Mormyridae. The record is from the annotation of a RefSeq genome assembly.
UGAUCUGUGACACUGUGUGAAUACUGGUACUGGUAGAAAAAUGGUCUUUGGCUCAGGAACAAAGCUGAUAGUUCAACUAAACCAGAGUGCAGAACCUUCCUUCUAUAAACUGGGCGAGGGUAAUAACACAGUGUGUAUGGCCACUGGAUUCAGCAAAUACAGUGCACUAGAUAAAGAGGAAACGUUCUCAAAAUACAAGACAGUGCCCACCAGGAUCAAAGAUGAGCCAUUCUUCGAUGAAGUAGUGAUACUGGAAGAGGGUGACACAUGCCCCAAUUCAACAGACGAAGAUGGGAAACCAUGUCAUUUGGAUUUCGGGGGUACUUUUGAAACUGAUGAGAAAAUUAAUUUCCUGUCGCUAACGGUUCUCGGCCUGAGGUUUCUGUUUCUGAAGAGCAUCCUGUUCAACGUGCUGAUGACGAUCCGGGCGUUGUCGAGUUAAGGGGACAGAAUUUCUGUACCAAAGACAUGGAGACCCGACACCAAGGCCACAGAUGCACCGAAUGGAACAAAAGAUUGCAAUAUAAACAGUAGAUUAGUAUUGUUAGCAAUAGCAGCAAAAGUAUACGAUGCUUUAUUGAGUUCAUUCUUUUUAACUACUUUACAAUUUGUAUUCUACCUUUUUGAGGAAUGUUUCCUUUGAAUUGUAUUUCUUAUUUUAUAGCAUGUAUUAAUAAUAAGGAAAUGGCAGUUUAUUAACUGAACUAUAAAUAUGGCUGUCACUAUAUUAGUAAAUGUUGGUGUGUUUUGCUUUGUAAACGGGAAAUCCCAGCUAUUCCAGUUAAUCGUUGGCCGUGGAUGUUAUUAGGUAUCAGGAGCUCACAGCAAUAAAUGUGUGAAGAUGAUUAUGCUUUUUCCCCCCGUUGCACACCUCAUAUCCCAGUUUGCGUAGAAAUGUUUGAACCAUGUGCUGUUCUUUGGUCGUCUGAUUCAUUUUGAUUGUCCUUGUACAUUUUUGACUGAUUAAUAAAACUUUACAAAAAUUUGA